This 207-nucleotide ribosomal RNA is filed under the name uncultured bacterium. RNAcentral describes it as "partial 16S ribosomal RNA". It matches the Rfam family "Bacterial small subunit ribosomal RNA", at positions 568 to 774 of the family's 1533-position model. The record is from RNAcentral.
CGUGUAGGCGGUUUAGUAAGUCAGAUGUGAAAGCCCUGGGCUCAACCCGGGAAGUGCAUUUGAAACUGCUUUACUUGAGUAUGGGAGGGGAGAGUGGAAUUCCUGGUGUAGAGGUGAAAUUCGUAGAUAUCAGGAGGAACAUCUGUGGCGAAGGCGACUCUCUGGACCAAUACUGACGCUGAGACGCGAAAGCGUGGGUAGCAAACA